UAAAUACUCCCGAGAGACCGAUAGCGAACCAGUACUGUGAAGGAAAGGUGAAAAGAACCUCGAACAGAGGAGUGAAACAGACCCUGAAACCAUGCGCCUACAAGCGGUCGGAGCAUGUUAAAAUGUGACGGCGUGCCUUUUGCAUAAUGAACCUACGAGUUACUCUCGCUGGCAAGGUUAAGCGAUUCAGUCGCGUAGCCGAAGCGAAAGCAAGUCCGAAUAAGGCGUACAGUCAGCGGGAGUAGACGCGAAACCAAGUGAUCUACCCUUGGUCAGGUUGAAGGUUGGGUAACACCAACUGGAGGACCGCACCGAUAAGCGUUGAAAAGCUUACGGAUGAACUGAGGGUAGGAGUGAAAGGCCAAUCAAACUUGGAGAUAGCUCGUACUCCCCGAAAGGCAUUUAGGUGCCGCGUCGGAUGGUCACCGUGAGAGGUAGAGCGACCGAUAGGACAAGAGGGCUUCACCGCCUAUCGAGUCCUGACGAACUCCGAAUGCUCACGGUCUGCAGUCCGGCAGUAAGGGGGCGGGUGCUAAGGUCCGUCCCCGAGAGGAGAAGAAUCCAGACCGCCGUCUAAGGUCCCGGAGUUCUGCCUGAGUUAGUCUAACGAAGUCUGGUCCCUAUGACAGCUAGGAUGUUGGCUUGGAAGCAGCCAUUCAUUCAAAGAGUGCGUAACAGCUCACUAGUCGAGGGUCCGGGCAUGGAUAAUAAUCGGGUAUAAGGCAGACACCGAAGGCGCGGGAUAGCAUUUAAGAAAGUAUCGGUAGGGGAGCAUACUCACAGCGUUGAAUGGUGUACGUAAGUUAUCCUGGAGCGGUGAGUAAAGCAAAUGUAGGAAUAAGUAACGAUAAGGAGGGUUAGAUUCCCUCCCGCUGUAAGACCAAGGUUUCCCGGGCAAUGCCAAUCAGCCCGGGGUCAGUCGGGUCCUAAGUCUAAGCCGAACGGCGAUGGCGAUGGCAGAGACGGUUAAUAUUCCGUCACUGCCGCAUGGGGCGAUGUGGAGACGGAGCAGUGAAACCACCGCGGGGCGACGGAAGUCCCCGUUGAAGAGUGUAGGUGUUGAGGAUGGCAGGCAAAUCCACCAUCCGAGCUGAACUUGAUAGUAUGGAGUCUUCUUCGGAAGAAUCCAAUAGUGUGGGUAAUCAUACUCCCGAGAAAAUCCGCUAAGCUUAACCCAUGCGGCACCCGUACCGCAAACGGACACACGUGGUCGGGUAGAACAUACUAAGGCGUUGAGAGAUUCAUGGUUAAGGAACUAGGCAAAUUGACCCUGUAACUUCGGGAUAAAGGGUCCUCGUGAUGAGCGAGGCGCAGAGAAUAGGUCCAGGCAACUGUUUAACAAAAACACAGGGCUGUGCAAACUCGAAAGAUGACGUAUACAGCCUGACACCUGCCCGGUGCCGGAAGGUUAAGAGGAGAUGUCACUCGCAAGAGGAAGCAUUGAAUUGAAGCCCCGGUAAACGGCGGCCGUAACUAUAACGGUCCUAAGGUAGCGAAAUUCCUUGUCGGGUAAGUUC
Molecule: ribosomal RNA, 1517 nt
Filed under: human gut metagenome
Description: bacterial LSU rRNA
Rfam family: Bacterial large subunit ribosomal RNA
Source: RNAcentral